RNAcentral lists this ribosomal RNA (321 nucleotides) under Triticum aestivum (bread wheat). Its description in RNAcentral is "partial small subunit ribosomal RNA". The record is from RNAcentral. Lineage: Eukaryota; Viridiplantae; Streptophyta; Magnoliopsida; Poales; Poaceae.
AUGUGGGCGAUCAUGCGGGACCCGAAGGCGUGGGAGAGGGCCGUCGAGUUCGUCCCGGAGAGGUUCCUGGAUAAGGCCGCGGCGGUGGAGUUCUGGGGCAAGGACUAUGAGUUCAUCCCGUUCGGGUCCGGCCGGCGGCUGUGCCCCGGCCCAUCGAUGGCGGAGCGGGUGGUGUCGUUUGUGCUGGCGUUGCUGCUGCACGCGUUCGAGUGGCGGCUCCCAGGUGGCGUGGCGGCCGACAAGCUGGACGUCACCGAGAAGUUCACCACUGUCAACACGCUCGUUGUGCGCCUCAGGGCCGUCCUCGUCGUGGUCACCUAG